GAGAGGGAGAUGAGAUGAGAAGAGGAACAGUCAGAACCGACAGGGAGAGGGAGAUGAGAUGAGAAGGGGAACAGUCAGAACCAACAGGGAGAGGGAGAUGAGAUGAGAAGAGGAACAGUCAGAACCGACAGGGAGAGGGAGAUGAGAAGAGAAGAGGAACAGUCAGAACCGACAGGGAGAGGGAGAUGAGAAGAGGAACAGUCAGAACCGACAGGGAGAGGGAGAUGAGAUGAGAAGAGGAACAGUCAGAACCAACAGGGAGAGGGAGAUGAGGUGAGAAGAGGAACAGUCAGAACCAACAGGGAGAGGGAGAUGAGAUGAGAAGAGGAACAGUCAGAACCGACAGGGAGAGGGAGAUGAGAUGAGAAGAGGAACAGUCAGAACCAACAGGGAGAGGGAGAUGAGGUGAGAAGAGGAACAGUCAGAACCGACAGGGAGAGGGAGAUGAGAUGAGAAGAGGAACAGUCAGAAC
Molecule: long non-coding RNA, 472 nt
Filed under: Salmo salar (Atlantic salmon)
Lineage: Eukaryota; Metazoa; Chordata; Actinopteri; Salmoniformes; Salmonidae
Description: lncRNA (ENSSSAG00000094337.1)
Source: RNAcentral